CUACGGGAGGCAGCAGUGAGGAAUAUUGCGCAAUGGAGGCAACUCUGACGCAGCCAUGCCGCGUGCAGGAAGACGGCCCUACGGGUUGUAAACUGCUUUUAUCCGGGAAGAAUCCCUUCUACGUGUAGGAGGUUGACGGUACCGGAAGAAUAAGGACCGGCUAACUCCGUGCCAGCAGCCGCGGUAAUACGGAGGGUCCAAGCGUUAUCCGGAUUUAUUGGGUUUAAAGGGUGCGUAGGCGGAACGAUAAGUCAGUGGUGAAAGCCUGCAGCUUAACUGUAGAAUUGCCAUUGAUACUGUCGUUCUUGAGUGCGCUUGACGUGGGCGGAAUGUGCCGUGUAGCGGUGAAAUGUUUAGAUAUGGCACAGAACACCAAUUGCGAAGGCAGCUCACGAAAGCGAUACUGACGCUGAGGCACGAAAGCGUGGGGAUCGAACAGGAUUAGAUACCCCAGUAGUCC
Molecule: ribosomal RNA, 460 nt
Filed under: uncultured bacterium
Lineage: Bacteria
Description: bacterial SSU rRNA
Rfam family: Bacterial small subunit ribosomal RNA
Source: RNAcentral